GAUGAACGCUAGCUACAGGCUUAACACAUGCAAGUCGAGGGGCAGCAUCAUCAAAGCUUGCUUUGAUGGAUGGCGACCGGCGCACGGGUGAGUAACACGUAUCCAACCUGCCGUCUACUCUUGGACAGCCUUCUGAAAGGAAGAUUAAUACAAGAUGUUAUCAUGAGUAAGCAUUUUCGCAUGAUUAAAGGUUUACCGGUGUAAGAUGGGGAUGCGUUCCAUUAGAUAGUAGGCGGGGUAACGGCCCACCUAGUCUUCGAUGGAUAGGGGUUCUGAGAGGAAGGUCCCCCACAUUGGAACUGAGACACGGUCCAAACUCCUACGGGAGGCAGCAGUGAGGAAUAUUGGUCAAUGGACGAGAGUCUGAACCAGCCAAGUAGCGUGCAGGAAGACGGCCCUAAUGGGUUGUAAACUGCUUUAUAGGAUAAAGUGAGUCUCGUGAGACUUUUUGCAUGUACCUUAUGAAUAAGGACCGGCUAAUUCCGUGCCAG
RNAcentral lists this ribosomal RNA (491 nucleotides) under uncultured bacterium. RNAcentral describes it as "bacterial SSU rRNA". It matches the Rfam family "Bacterial small subunit ribosomal RNA", at positions 28 to 511 of the family's 1533-position model. The record is from RNAcentral.